CUGCUGGGCUCCACAUUCUGGCCUCUGCCAUCACUUCGUAAACUAAGGGGAAAUGAUGACUGCCCGAAGGUUACAUCAAGCUUGGAAAUAAGCAUAGAACUUAUCAGUGAAAAGACACCGAGGAACCGGAAGAAUAUCACCAGAAAUACAACAUACUAUAUGUGAAGAUGACAUGGUAUCAAAACAAUAAUGAUUUUCUAAUUCAACUGACUCAUGGGAGACAAACUACUUUUAAAGGAAGAAGUUGAAGAGUUUUGACAUGCAUGGUGAAUAAGACAAGUGAAUCUGAGGAGUAGGUUUGUUUUGCAUGGACUUCUGUAUAGCUCAACACUUCAGCUCAAAUAGACAGCAGACUAUGAAUGGUUGUUAUUAAAACUCUUGAUAAGAUAACUAGCAUA
Molecule: non-coding RNA, 398 nt
Organism: Ictidomys tridecemlineatus (thirteen-lined ground squirrel)
Lineage: Eukaryota; Metazoa; Chordata; Mammalia; Rodentia; Sciuridae
Source: RefSeq, a predicted model, not a curated record